Molecule: long non-coding RNA, 457 nt
Organism: Phragmites australis (common reed)
Lineage: Eukaryota; Viridiplantae; Streptophyta; Magnoliopsida; Poales; Poaceae
Exons: 3
Source: RefSeq, a predicted model, not a curated record
UUCCUCCUGGCGUGGUGGUGUCCCGCUCACUCAUUUCCCAUCCGGCCACCAUAGCGCCGCUCCUCUCACUAGUCCACCGGAGUACGAGCGCUGAGCGGUGACCCAUCGAUUGGGUUCUUCUUUUGUUGUUCCCAUGCGGAGGCGAUGGAGCUGCAUGCCCGCACGCCGCCAGGAGUCCAAGACCUACAGCUGCCAUGAGUCUAGGAACUAGAGCCGCACGCCUGCUUGCCGCCUAGAGUCCAGGAGCAAGAGCCCAAUCCCCAAGCGGCAAGAAGAAUCCUACAUUGUUCAAGGCAUUUGUACCUUCUCAUUUGUAAUGCAUUGCUCCUUUUCCCUGUGAAGGCAACCUCAAACUUUAAUUAGCUAUACCAUGGAGAUCUAAAUCUUUGCAUCAAAAUCUGCUGAGACCACGUCAUGGGAAGCAUAUCAAAAGAGGAGCUCACUAGGACAAUCAUUG